Molecule: ribosomal RNA, 492 nt
Filed under: uncultured bacterium
Lineage: Bacteria
Description: partial 16S ribosomal RNA
Rfam family: Bacterial small subunit ribosomal RNA
Source: RNAcentral
AUUGAACGCUGGCGGCAUGCUUUACACAUGCAAGUCGAACGGUAACAGGCCUUCGGGUGCUGACGAGUGGCGAACGGGUGAGUAAUGCAUCGGAACGUGCCCAGAGGUGGGGGAUAACACAGCGAAAGCUGUGCUAAUACCGCAUGUGAUCUGAGGAUGAAAGCGGGGGACCAGGCAGCAAUGUUUGGCCUCGCGCCUUUGGAGCGGCCGAUGUCAGAUUAGGUAGUUGGUGGGGUAAAGGCCUACCAAGCCGACGAUCUGUAGCUGGUCCGAGAGGACGACCAGCCACACUGGGACUGAGACACGGCCCAGACUCCUACGGGAGGCAGCAGUGGGGAAUUUUGGACAAUGGGCGCAAGCCUGAUCCAGCAAUGCCGCGUGCGGGAAGAAGGCCUUCGGGUUGUAAACCGCUUUUGUACGGAACGAAAAGGCUCUGGCUAAUACCUGGGGCUGAUGACGGUACCGUAAGAAUAAGCACCGGCUAACUACGUG